Molecule: small nucleolar RNA, 210 nt
Filed under: Oryza sativa Indica Group (long-grained rice)
Lineage: Eukaryota; Viridiplantae; Streptophyta; Magnoliopsida; Poales; Poaceae
Description: snoRNA Plant_U3
Source: RNAcentral
AUGAUUAUACAUUAAAAGAUAAAGCCUAUACCACUGUUGAUCAAUCUCCUAUAGAUCCAAUAGGGUCUAAAACUGAUGGGGCGGCGUUCACGGCCGGUUCGACCGGGCCUGACGGCCGGUCAGACCGCGACGCAACCGUCGGUCUGACCGGCCUGAUGGCCGGUCAGACCGGGUACUAUCCCGUUGGUCCGAUCGGCCAGAUGGCCGGUC